CAAGAGAACGUAUUGCCGUGCCAUACCAGUUGUAACCCAAUAUCAUUCAUUACCACUAAAUCUAAAACAAGAUUCAAAACAGUGCUGUCUUUUUCUUAUCUAGGCUAAUUUCUGUCUGCAGCUAUUUGAUCGAUAUUCAUUUAGUUUCCAGAUUGCCUUCCUUCAUGCUUCGAAAUUGAUUGGAACAAAAAUGUCUAUUAUAGUAUUUUUCUUAUCUUUCCCCUUUUCAUUCUGAAAUCUCAUGAAUUGUCAAGCUGUGCCUAAAACAUUCUCGAAAAUAUUUAUGCUUCUGAAGAGGAAAGAAAAUAGAAAAAUAAAAAGAAUUUCCUAGUUUAUAACCGACAAACAGAACAGGCUAUAGUUUUCUAUUAUUAUUUAUAUUUCAUUUAUUUUAUUAUAUAGAAAAGAUAAGUUGGUCGAUCAAGGGUAAAAUUAUUAUUUUAUUUUAUUUUUUCUCUUUCUUUUUCUAUUUCUGUUGGUUGAUCAAGAGCAAAUCUCUUAUUUUUAGUUCCCCAAAAUAAUAAUACUGUGGUUGUUUCAUUUGAUUUCUCUUCAUGGUCUUUCAAGUUCAGGUAAUUUUUUCUCUCAAUUUUUGCUUUAAUCUUCUUCUAGUUCUUUUCAAAUUUCUCAAUUUCAUGGCUGAAAUUCAUUAUUGUUUUUCUACUAUGUUCUUAUUCAUCUAUUCAUCUCCUUCCUUUUGUUUCUCUCUUUCAUUAUUAAAAUACUCCUUUUGCAUAAUCUCUUUAUUUUUCUUCAGAUUUUCAAAGAUUACUUCUUUUUUCCAGUUCUUUACAUCUUCUCGGCUGCUGUUUUAAUUUCAGGUAUGAGUUGUCUCAAUUUUUGCCCACUUCUAAUUUUCUCUUCAGCCUUCCAAAUUUCAUUGCUGGAAUUCAUGGCUGAUGUCUUUAAUAGAGAAAGAGGUAAAGUUUCGAAAGGUUUGCUAUGCGUAAAAUGUAGUUGGGAGAUUGGGGUAGAAACGAUGAACAAAAAAAUUAUAGUAGUAAUUUCAUUUGUUUUGACUGCUUUUUUAAUUUUAUUUUUUCGUUUCUAUUGAUUAGAAAGGUAAUUUUUUGUUUACACCAUCUCCCUCGAAUUCUUUCAUGUACUUUUCUCUAUUACUAUCUUUAAUAAAAGCUUCUAUCGAUUGAUCCAAAUUUUUUAAUUAUAGAUGAGCAUGUUUUCGAAAUAUUCUGCUUCUUAUGAUCACAUCAUUUAUUUUGAAAUGAGUAUAUUUUAAUUGAUGUUACUUCACUGUUUUUUGACCAAAGAGUAAUUGUCUAGGUAGAGAGAGGAGUCAAUGUUGCUUUAUCUCCUUUUUUUCACACCAUAAGAAAGAAAUUUAGAUUCGUAAUCAAUUUCCAUGCUCAACAAGAUACACCAAUCUUGGAAUGUUUUGCUUUCAAUCUUAUAGAUUUCCUGGUAGAGCUUACUCUAAGUGUUAGAUGAGAACACUGAUGGAGCUUACUUUAAGUCUCGGUUGAAAACUCUUAUUGUAUGUAUUCAUACGGUCAUUUGACAAUGAAGUAUUUACAGUUACAUAUAAGUUUAAAUUUUACCUCAUCAAAAUUGAUAUUUUCUUCAAGAAACAUAACUGAGGAAGUUUUCAUUGAAAACUUUUGCAUUACUUAAUUAGUUUAACUAUUCAGCAAACAAAUUUGGCUGUUAUUGUGAAUUUUUGGGUGAUGAGUGAAUCAUGAAUGACGGUUUCUGGAUUGUUGAUCUCUUUUGAUAUGAUAAAUUUAUAAUAUGGGUAGCAGAAUCUUUUAACUUUUUUCUUGCUACAAUUGUUACAUAUUAUUUUAAACAUGUAUUAUUAGGAAGAUUUGUCAAGAAUAUUAAAUUGAAUUUCUUAUUGCUUCUUAGGAAAGAAGAAUAUAAGAGUGCGAAUAUCAUCCAUGCCUAUCAUUUCCUUGAAAUUGACUUCUAAGGCAUGUACCGAGUUUUACAACCAGUAUGAAUAGAUCUUUGACUUUUAUUAUUUUAAGUUAUUGCAAAUUUACUUGUACGCAAACAGUUGUGGAAAAAAAAUCUACCUAAUAAUCCUUUGUGACUUUCACCUCUUAUUUGUGAGACUGACAAUUCCUUUUAAUUUAGAUAGAUUGUAGAAAAACAAUGCAACAUACCUUCUUAUUACUAAUGCACACCUUUAAAGAAAAUAAUACUUCUUAUUUUCUUUUUAAUAUAUGUGUAUACCACCAUUUAGAACUAUAUUGUGUCUUGCUAUUAUGAGACAGAUAAUUUAGUGACUGUCAAUAAUUUUUCAUGUAAUUGAGGUUAGUUGUUGAACUACUAAGAGUUGGCUUGAUUUUUUCGUUUCAAAUAUUUUUGGGUAGUUUAGAAGAUAACAUUUGUGACCAGGCUCAACUGAAGAGCAAUGUCUUACCGUCGAGUCAUUAAGAAGAAGCCUGCCAGAUUAUUAUGCUUCAACUACUUUAUUCCAUUUGACCUGUUUGAUUUUUGGCACUAAGAUUCAAUUAACAUUUUGGUCAUCUAAUAUAGUUGAUGUAGCAUAUCAGGGUUAGCUAAUUCAAUGUGGCCUCCACUCCUACAGCCACUGUAUAAUUUAAUUCUGCUGCACGGGGUUCUAUAUUUUCAUUUGCUUUAGAUACUUUCCCCAAUUUUAUACUUUUUGUUCUUAUCCUUCUACUCAGAUUGAUACAAUCUCCAGAUUAACUACUCAUCUUUCUAGCCAGAUCUUGUGAAAUAUUCUCUUCCCUCUCUUACUGCUAAUUCUUUAAUAUAAGGUUUUCUUUGUUUCUAAGGGUAUGCUUUGUUCUUUGAUUUUUCGUUGUAGGUUGUCGGUUACACUUCUAGAUUUUGAUUAUUAUCUUUUAAUUUCCUAUUCAAAUAGAGAAAAUCCUCAGAUUGUUCCUGCAGAGUGUAAGUACUUUAGAAAGUUGUUGAAUGAGAGUAUUAAGGUAGUACCUCUUAAAUAGUAUGCAAGAGUCUGAGAUUUUAAGAUCAUUAAGAUGAUGAAUAGGUGGCUUUAUUAUUUAAUCAUUUUACAGCUUAAUGGAAGAAAAAGAAGAAAAAAAAAGGAAAGAAUUUAUUCCCAUCAGCUCUCACCUUAGAUAUAUUGAAUUUUGCAUCUCCUUUAAUAUGAGUGAAUGAUGCUAGCAACUACUUCCUGUAUUUGAUGGUGUGGGCAGUAGACUCUGAUAUAACUGAUAAUUACUUUUGUGCAAUAUUGAUUGCUUGAUGGAUAUGAGACAAUAUUUUAAAGGUUCUCUUUUAAUUGUGAUUUCCUUUAAAAAUAUGGAGAAUAAUUAAAUCAUUAUAAUGCAUCCAAGGGAAUGCUGUUAGAACUUGAUAUUCUUACUUUAUUCGUAGGAUCUUAUAGAUUUACAAUGGGAAAAGAUAUUGCUUUCUAUAUUUGGUGUUUCAAGAGUUUUUCGAAAAUAAUUCUUGGAGAAGUUUGUGGAAACAUUUUGUAAGAAUGUUUCUGGGAACAAUUCUUGUUUCGAUGAUUGUUAUUGUAAAAAUAUUUUUGAAAAAUGAACUAUAUUUGAUUGGAUAGGAUUAUUAAAGAGCGUGAAAAUUGAAAAGCGACCUAUCAGUUAGAUGAACUUUUAAUCAAAAUGAUAAAUUCUAAUCGCAUGUGCGCCAGCAGUUAAAGUUUGCAUACAACUUCAACUGGAUUGACUAUUAGCAUCUUUACUUACCUACUCACUAGAUUUUUGACCAUAUUAUGUUGCAUAUUUGGAAGGACCUACCAACUAUUCCGUCAAAAGUUUGUUGCAGUUGAUAUGUCUUUUGGAGGAUAAGAGAAGACAAAUCAAACUCCAGCUAACACAACAAGAAGUUCUCGGUUAUUCAGAUCUCAAAAAGACGCGAGCUCGGAUGGGAGCUAACAGGAGUUACAGAGAACUACUACUUGAACUGCUUUAUAAAUCUACUUGAUAAUUUUUACAUAGAGCCUGAUUGAAAUUUGUAAGUUAUUAAAUUCUUUUACGUUGUAAUGUAUUCAUGAGGUGAGUUCUCAUCAAAUACUUAUAUAUACUUUGUUUCUUGCCCAAAUUGAACGCCAUUUUUAUUAACUUUUUAAUGUGAACUAUUGAUCUCUCCUUAAAUUUGUUGCAUCCUUUUCAUAUGCAUGAUGGCUUUGUUUCUUAUCAAACUUCUAACACCAGGGCCUAUGAAAUAAGAGUUGAUAGGGCUGCUUUUACAGACGAUAAUAAAUCGUUGACAGAAAAUCUAUGCACCAUGUUGGUUCUAUUAUCUUUUAAAUGACUUGUGUCUCCAUCCUUUUAUAUACUGAUUAACCAAGUUAUGUUUAUUCGAG
This 4282-nucleotide long non-coding RNA is filed under the name Nicotiana benthamiana. Its description in RNAcentral is "long non-coding RNA (NBEN_LNC009206)". The record is from RNAcentral. Lineage: Eukaryota; Viridiplantae; Streptophyta; Magnoliopsida; Solanales; Solanaceae.